Molecule: long non-coding RNA, 1590 nt
Filed under: Triticum aestivum (bread wheat)
Lineage: Eukaryota; Viridiplantae; Streptophyta; Magnoliopsida; Poales; Poaceae
Description: long non-coding RNA (TAES_LNC021864)
Source: RNAcentral
ACCCGCUGCCCCCACACUGAACCAAAGACCCCGCCCCAUCAGCUGUCUACCACGGCUGCUGAUGCUUGCUGCAACUCCGGUCCACGUGCUCCCAGCCUGCCGCUUCUACUUCUGCAUCUAUCGUUGCUUCAAGCGCAGUUGAGAAGCACAACGGCGGCCCCGCCUCCCGCUCCGCCAAUGGUCCGCCGGUGCAUCGCAGCCUCGCUGGAGUCGCCUGAGCCGUUUCUGAAACUGAGUUAUUGUUUCUGAAACUGAGCUAUUGUUUCUGAAACAGAGCUAUUGUUUUUUCACGCAGGUGUUCAUGAUUUAGGAUGGAACAGAGUUAGUGUUUCAGAAACAAGAGCUAAUCGAAGAUUGUUGAUGGGAUUUGCUAGAUGGAGCGAAGAUUGUUGAUGGGAUUUGCUAGAUGGAGCUUCAGGAAACAAGAUCAUUGUUGAAAUCAGAGAAGACCAAAUCUUGCAACAAGAGCAUUGUUGCAGGAAAUGCUCUGGUUGCGAAACCGUGCGGGGCGCAAAUCUAUCGGGGACCGGGAGCAAGAGUGCCAAUGUUUCUGCAACAGAGCGGUUGUUGCGAGAAAUAACUAGUGGGCAUGCGGGGCGUGGAUAUCAGAUCGGGCGGCUAUCAAGUCGGGCAUCCAACGGUCGUCGAGGCGACGGAUAAAAUCAGAAAAUCGGUCGACGGACGCGUAGCGUCGCCUCUUUUUUUUCUCAUCAAAGAAUGAGGAGAGACGUAUUUACGUACGUGAUAAGUACAUCGCUUUCUUUUCUUGUUUUGUCGUCGGCCGAUAUAUAUCGAUGGAGCACAGGAUCUAAACUCGGGAUGAGGGUGUGCGCGAUCACUUCUCGAUGAUCCUCUUCUUUCCAAACAGCCUUUUAAUAAUAUACUUACUGAAAGAACAAGGGUUCAGAACUGAGCACUGAAAGAACAAGGGUUCAGAUUGGCCAUGGAGAUGCACCGAAAGAUCCAACUCUUCUGUAACACCAUACCGCCUGCAAGCUUUUAGAGAAGACGAAUGUUAAUUAUUGGCAACUGUGCUAGUUCAGAUUGAUUAAUCCCUACAGUAGAUUAUGGAAGAAAAGCAAUUCCAACACUGAUAUAUGAAAGCUCAAGUCCCAUCUUUAUGGAAUGAAAUAAGAUAAUCUGAUAAACUUUUUUCUCCAAGUAUGCUCCUUGAUAAAAAUAAAAAUAUGCAAAACUAUAAUUCUUGUUGCUUCUGUACCGAGCAUUAGGUUUAUGGAAUGAAAUCUCAUGGUAGUGAUUCAGCAUUAGGUUUUACUCAGUUCCUGUUCGUCCGGUCCGGUGCAAUAACAAGGGUUCAGCAGUUAGCAUUAGACGGAUUAUGACUACUCUGUCCACAUUGGAUAAGCAUUGGAUAAGGGGCUGACCACAUUGUUUCUUGAAUGUUGGGAACAAAGCUGCAGUACCUGGAGCUCAGGGGACGACAGCAAGGCCAGCAGCAGCAGCAGCAAGCGCGGAGGUCUGGGAAGGAUGAGUUCCGGCUACUCUGAAUACAUCGACACCUGAAACUAAAGGUAAAUAUUCAGUUAACAGCCGGUGCGCGUCACUGCUAGGAAAGAAUGAACGGCUGGG